UUGAAGAGUUUGAUCAUGGCUCAGAUUGAACGCUGGCGGCAGGCCUAACACAUGCAAGUCGAGCGGUAGCACAGAGAGCUUGCUCUCGGGUGACGAGCGGCGGACGGGUGAGUAAUGUCUGGGAAACUGCCUGAUGGAGGGGGAUAACUACUGGAAACGGUAGCUAAUACCGCAUAAUGUCGCAAGACCAAAGUGGGGGACCUUCGGGCCUCAUGCCAUCAGAUGUGCCCAGAUGGGAUUAGCUAGUAGGUGGGGUAACGGCUCACCUAGGUGACGAUCCCUAGCUGGUCUGAGAGGAUGACCAGCCACACUGGAACUGAGACACGGUCCAGACUCCUACGGGAGGCAGCAGUGGGGAAUAUUGCACAAUGGGCGCAAGCCUGAUGCAGCCAUGCCGCGUGUGUGAAGAAGGCCUUCGGGUUGUAAAGCACUUUCAGCGGGGAGGAAGGCGUUAAGGUUAAUAACCUUGGCGAUUGACGUUACCCGCAGAAGAAGCACCGGCUAACUCCGUGCCAGCAGCCGCGGUAAUACGGAGGGUGCAAGCGUUAAUCGGAAUUACUGGGCGUAAAGCGCACGCAGGCGGUCUGUCAAGUCGGAUGUGAAAUCCCCGGGCUCAACCUGGGAACUGCAUUCGAAACUGGCAGGCUAGAGUCUUGUAGAGGGGGGUAGAAUUCCAGGUGUAGCGGUGAAAUGCGUAGAGAUCUGGAGGAAUACCGGUGGCGAAGGCGGCCCCCUGGACAAAGACUGACGCUCAGGUGCGAAAGCGUGGGGAGCAAACAGGAUUAGAUACCCUGGUAGUCCACGCCGUAAACGAUGUCGAUUUGGAGGUUGUGCCCUUGAGGCGUGGCUUCCGGAGCUAACGCGUUAAAUCGACCGCCUGGGGAGUACGGCCGCAAGGUUAAAACUCAAAUGAAUUGACGGGGGCCCGCACAAGCGGUGGAGCAUGUGGUUUAAUUCGAUGCAACGCGAAGAACCUUACCUGGUCUUGACAUCCACAGAACUUUCCAGAGAUGGAUUGGUGCCUUCGGGAACUGUGAGACAGGUGCUGCAUGGCUGUCGUCAGCUCGUGUUGUGAAAUGUUGGGUUAAGUCCCGCAACGAGCGCAACCCUUAUCCUUUGUUGCCAGCGGUCCGGCCGGGAACUCAAAGGAGACUGCCAGUGAUAAACUGGAGGAAGGUGGGGAUGACGUCAAGUCAUCAUGGCCCUUACGACCAGGGCUACACACGUGCUACAAUGGCAUAUACAAAGAGAAGCGACCUCGCGAGAGCAAGCGGACCUCAUAAAGUAUGUCGUAGUCCGGAUUGGAGUCUGCAACUCGACUCCAUGAAGUCGGAAUCGCUAGUAAUCGUAGAUCAGAAUGCUACGGUGAAUACGUUCCCGGGCCUUGUACACACCGCCCGUCACACCAUGGGAGUGGGUUGCAAAAGAAGUAGGUAGCUUAACCUUCGGGAGGGCGCUUACCACUUUGUGAUUCAUGACUGGGGUGAAGUCGUAACAAGGUAACCGUAGGGGAACCUGCGGUUGGAUCACCUCCUU
Molecule: ribosomal RNA, 1536 nt
Filed under: Klebsiella pneumoniae
Lineage: Bacteria; Pseudomonadati; Pseudomonadota; Gammaproteobacteria; Enterobacterales; Enterobacteriaceae
Description: bacterial SSU rRNA
Rfam family: Bacterial small subunit ribosomal RNA
Source: RNAcentral